This 405-nucleotide ribosomal RNA is filed under the name Triticum aestivum (bread wheat). Its description in RNAcentral is "partial small subunit ribosomal RNA". Lineage: Eukaryota; Viridiplantae; Streptophyta; Magnoliopsida; Poales; Poaceae. The record is from RNAcentral.
AUGUCAGGGUCAUCGCUGGUUUGUUUGAGAAGACGGUGCCGGAUUGUGCAGCACGGAGUGCCAUGGAGCAGACCGUGGUGUGCAACUAGUGCCCUUGAGUGUGUGGGUGUGGGUGGCUGGUUUCCCACGCAACACAAUCACGAGGUGUUGUGCUAGAAUGUUAGAGGUCUUAACAAUCCAGCUAAAAGGAGUGCGGUGAGAGAAUUCAUAGCGUCGGUUGGUGCUUCCAUUGUUUGCUUGCUUCAAUCAGAAUUGGCAACGGUUGAUAGGUACACGGUGGCUCAAUGUGUGGGGCUGGAUUUUGAUGGUUUUUCUCAUUUGCCGGCUCAGGAUACUAGGGGCGGCAUUAUUCUUGCUUGGAAGUCGGUGUGUGUGCAAAUUGAUCACGUGGUGUCGCAGGGCUAG